Molecule: ribosomal RNA, 547 nt
Filed under: uncultured bacterium
Lineage: Bacteria
Description: bacterial SSU rRNA
Rfam family: Bacterial small subunit ribosomal RNA
Source: RNAcentral
UGGGGAAUAUUGCGCAAUGGGGGGAACCCUGACGCAGCCAUGCCGCGUGAAUGAAGAAGGCCUUAGGGUUGUAAAGUUCUUUCGGUAUUGAGGAAGGUUGAUGUGUUAAUAGCACAUCAAAUUGACGUUAAAUACGGAAGAAGCACCGGCUAACUCCGUGCCAGCAGCCGCGGUAAUACGGAGGGUGCGAGCGUUAAUCGGAAUAACUGGGCGUAAAGGGCACGCAGGCGGUUAUUUAAGUGAGGUGUGAAAGCCCCGGGCUUAACCUGGGAAUUGCAUUUCAGACUGGGUAACUAGAGUACUUUAGGGAGGGGUAGAAUUCCACGUGUAGCGGUGAAAUGCGUAGAGAUGUGGAGGAAUACCGAAGGCGAAGGCAGCCCCUUGGGAAUGUACUGACGCUCAUGUGCGAAAGCGUGGGGAGCAAACAGGAUUAGAUACCCUGGUAGUCCACGCUGUAAACGCUGUCGAUUUGGGGGUUGGGGUUUAACUCUGGCGCCCGUAGCUAACGUGAUAAAUCGACCGCCUGGGGAGUACGGCCGCAAGGUUA